RNAcentral lists this ribosomal RNA (481 nucleotides) under Triticum aestivum (bread wheat). RNAcentral's name for it is "partial small subunit ribosomal RNA". Lineage: Eukaryota; Viridiplantae; Streptophyta; Magnoliopsida; Poales; Poaceae. The record is from RNAcentral.
UGGACACCCACGGUUAGGCCAGCCAGAUAAGUGGGUUAUGUGGGUUAUCCCGCGGACGCCGCAUCAAACCCACAUCUCUGCGAUGAUGCAGAAGAGAUUAGGGCGGAGCCGCCGUGGCCGCGGCACCAUCGCCCACUUCCGUCAUGAACACCACAACAUCGCUGUCUACAAGCACCUUACGUACGCCGCAUGCAGGUGGGCUCGAUACGUUGUCGUUCUCCUCUCCAGUUCUUGCCAUCAGUGAGCCCCUAUUGGUUACGCCACCAUCGACCAAGCAGCCCGAGCAGCAGUAGCAGCUGUUCCUGCCAAAAUCGCAGCUGGACGCACGCCGCCUACUCCUCCCCAUGUCCUCGACGUCGUUGUGGCCUAGUCGUACAUGCCUUGAUCCAGUAUGUUUGUAGCCUCUGGACACGCCCUGUACUCUGUACUGCAGCUAGCUUGCAAUUGCUGUGUUUGUCGCUGCGGAGUAUGUGGGCUUGUG